Molecule: small nuclear RNA, 164 nt
Filed under: Propithecus coquereli (Coquerel's sifaka)
Lineage: Eukaryota; Metazoa; Chordata; Mammalia; Primates; Indriidae
Description: U1 spliceosomal RNA (ENSPCOG00000000449.1)
Rfam family: U1 spliceosomal RNA
About the family: U1 is a small nuclear RNA (snRNA) component of the spliceosome (involved in pre-mRNA splicing).
Source: Rfam by way of RNAcentral
GUACAUAUCUGGUAGGGGAGAUAACAUGAUCAGGAAGGUGGUUUUCCCAGGACAAGGCUUAUCCAUUACGUUCUGCAUGUGCUGACCCCUGCGAUUUCCCCAAAUAUGGGAAACCAGGAUGCAUAAUUUGUGGUAGUGGGGGACUGUAUUUGCUCUUUCCCAUU